UCCUACGGGCGGCAGCAGUCGAGGAUCUUCGUCAAUGGGCGCAAGCCUGAACGAGCGACGCCGCGUGCGCGAUGAAGGCCUUCGGGUUGUAAAGCGCGAAAGUGGGGAUAAAGCCGAAAGGUUGAUAGAUCCACAGUAAGGACGGGCUAAGUUCGUGCCAGCAGCCGCGGUAAGACGAACUGUCCUAACGUUGUUCGGAAUCACUGGGCUUAAAGGGCGCGUAGGCGGUCCGACAAGUCAGGGGUGAAAUCCUGCAGCUUAACUGCAGAAGUGCCUUUGAUACUGUCGGUCUCGAGGGAGAUAGGGGUGUGCGGAACUUCCAGUGGAGCGGUGAAAUGCGUUGAUAUUGGAAGGAACGCCGGAGGCGAAAGCGGCGCACUGGAUCUCUUCUGACGCUGAGGCGCGAAAGCUAGGGGAGCAAACGGGAUUAGAUACCCUUGUAGUCA
This 446-nucleotide ribosomal RNA is filed under the name uncultured Gemmataceae bacterium. Its description in RNAcentral is "bacterial SSU rRNA". It matches the Rfam family "Bacterial small subunit ribosomal RNA", at positions 337 to 796 of the family's 1533-position model. Lineage: Bacteria; Pseudomonadati; Planctomycetota; Planctomycetia; Gemmatales; Gemmataceae. The record is from RNAcentral.